RNAcentral lists this ribosomal RNA (250 nucleotides) under uncultured bacterium. Its description in RNAcentral is "partial 16S ribosomal RNA". It matches the Rfam family "Bacterial small subunit ribosomal RNA", at positions 524 to 773 of the family's 1533-position model. The record is from RNAcentral.
UACGAAGGGGGCUAGCGUUGUUCGGAAUUACUGGGCGUAAAGGGCGCGUAGGCGGUCCUGAUCGUCGGAUGUGAAAGGCCUGGGCUCAACCUGGGAACUGCAUCCGAUACGGCGGGACUGGAGUGUGGGAGAGGUUGGUGGAAUUCCCAGUGUAGAGGUGAAAUUCGUAGAUAUUGGGAAGAACACCGGUGGCGAAGGCGGCCAACUGGACCACAACUGACGCUGAGGCGCGAAAGCGUGGGGAGCAAAC